Molecule: long non-coding RNA, 2906 nt
Organism: Anguilla rostrata (American eel)
Lineage: Eukaryota; Metazoa; Chordata; Actinopteri; Anguilliformes; Anguillidae
Exons: 6
Source: RefSeq, a predicted model, not a curated record
CGUUGCUUGACAAAUUUUGAAGCGGGCAAGACAGGGCUGUUCAGGAGCCUCGGUGUUCAGACCGGGCGCCACGUCUGAAUUCAGGGGUGCCCGAUUCCUUCGUACAGCAAUUUACGGCGCUACCUUUAACACCAUUCAGCAGCACCUCCCAUGCACCCUACAGCCCUCUUCACCCCAACAUCCUGCUUCUGCUUCCACCACUGCGCAGUGAGGAGCUCAGGAAACACAGGUUCUCUCGAUUUGGAACGCCCAGUCCUUGGGAUGUCCCGGUGUCCACUGAGGAGAGUGAAGUCUACAGCACACAUUCCAGCUUCCAUCCCAAGAGAAAAGCAAGGGCCGGGUUUGAUGAAGAGCUCCCAUUAUGACCCCAACAACAGCAGUCUGGCUCCUCUAACAGGAAAGGACUUUAACCGCGGGACUGGGGGACUGGGGGACUGGGGGGUAGAGGACGUGAAGCUCUGGUCAUAUGUCACUCGGCUAUUUGGGUUAGAGAGCUUUGUGUAUUAUUCUCAAAGCCCCUUAAGUGUGCUCAUGCCACAGUAUUAAUAUUUUGUGCUAUUACUUUCGGGUUACCAUUAAUUCGGCACGGGGUUAUAACAAGUGCAAUAAGAAACUCCCGACCCUCACCCCUUUGAUUCAGCCUUGACCUCUAGUGGCAAUGCCUUGUUACUGCACCUGCUCAGUGACUGAUGCAGGCAGACAGACAGACCGACAAACAAGACAAGCAGCCAGGAAUAGAGACGUACAGGCAAAAGAGCCAGGGUCAGUUUCCUGUGCUGGAACAACAUUCUGAAUAAUCUGGGUUAGUUUAUAUUACUUGGUGUUCAUUGGAGAGCGCCUUAACCUUUUGUCAUUGUGCCUGAUAGUCAAUGAAUAAAUCGUUCAACCUUCUGAAGUAUUUGAGGUCAGGAAAUUUAAACCACACGCAUGUGUGAAACCCAUCUGUUUCCAAACAGCAGUAUAGCUUGGCUUAAUCACUAAAACACAUUCCCCUGAUUGAGUAUUCAGAGCUGAGUCGUGUCUCAGAUAUUUCUGGUGGUUAAUUCAAAGCAGCCACACCAGAGCAUUGAGGGGUUUCGCCAGUCGGUGUGCAUGAGUAGCCUCUUUCUCCGACCCGCGUCCCUCCUGCUGGGAAGUGAGAGAGACGGCCUUUCAUGAAGCGGAGCGCGAGGGAGCCGGCUGCACAGGCUCUUAAGACAGCAUUAUCCUCUUCACCCACUCUUUUGAAAUUUCCUGCUGACAAAUUAUCCGUUCCUCUGCUAUGUUUUUUUUUUCUUCCUUUUUUAACGUCUCUUUUUUCCUCGAAAAUUGCACAGCCAAAAAAGGAAACGUAUUUGAAUUGCUGGGGUGAGGGGAUUGUUCCUGUUUUGUGAGGAGAUGGAGAUUAAGGAUUCUGGCUGUAUUUUUUUUCAGACGGGGAGAUUGAACGCUCCAUUCUUGAGGCUCGGGCUGAGCGGUUGGAGUAAAUGCACUGUGGGGCUCUUUCUUCUGACGAUCGUGGUGGAGAUGUUUAUUUUUUUCCUCAAACUUUGCAUUAGAACGGAGUCACUGACAUGUCUGCGGAGCGCUGGACCCUUGCACUCCACUCCGCCAAACUUUCAUCACUCCCCUACAUUCCUUGAAUACUUGUGCUGCUGCUGAAGAUUGCAAAACCCUGUUUAUUUAGCCUGCUCUCUGUUCCCCUUUACAGUGUUCAGUGUUGUAGCUGUGCAGGCACAUUGCUGUGAAACCACGCAGACAAAUGUUCACAGAGCUGUCACAGAAUAUACAAUAACCAGCUCCAAAUUUCCAUGUUAUUAAUUACGUAUGUAAGGCUGUAUGUCUGUUUAUAAAUGUACUACUAACCGUGAACUCCUGAAUUAAUUUAAAAUAACAAAACCUGUAUAGUUAUUGAGUACAAUGUGUUAAUAGCAUUUUUGAAAGAGAGAGUGCGUAAUUGUGGUUAAAGUCACAUUAGUUAAGGUCUUUGUGUAGUGUGGAAUGUCCUUCAUCUUUUCCCUGUCUUUCAGCCUGAAACAGUGUUGGCUUGCUUGUCCAGUGGAAGUCUCAGGAUGCCUGCUUGCCUCUCUUGAGCGAGGUUGCUGGGCCCCAGGUGCACCCAUGUUGGGCCUGAGAGGGAAGAAAAUAACAAUGCUAAUAGCCUGCAUUAUGAAGACUUUUCUCCCCCUCUCACUGUCCCUAUUGUCCCUGCACUCAAAAGAUGGAGGAGUGCUCAGACUGCCAAAGAGAUGGCAUUCACUGGAGCCUGCUGAGACACUGAGGAAGGGCUCCUUGCAAGUUUUGCCUGCAGCAAAGAGUUACAGUACUUCAGAGGCUUGUCCCCUGCAUGAGCAAGCCUUCAUGAUACUUACCUUCUCCUCUAUAACAGAAGACUGAUUCAUUCCAGGGGAAAUGCCACUAAGCCCUGAAGAAGGCUGCUUUUGAAGCAUUGUCUGAAAGAGUAGUUCUGGAGAUAAUGAUUUGGGAAUGUCUGUUUAUGGGGCCUCUCGAAAAAUGCAAUUCUGUUGUGUUCACAUUUUAGGGAAUUGAAUGUAUGUUAGUUGAUACCUGUUUUGCUCCAUUGGUCAUAUGUGUACAUGCACAACUCUUAAAAGCUGGCGGUACUUUUUAUGUGUGCAUUAUGUAUGCAUAUUAGUAACAGUGAGUGUGUUUUAAUUCCCCUGUGUACUGGGUUCUGAAGAAUGGGCCUUAGCUCUGCAUUUGAAAUUCUUUGCUCAUCGGAUUGCUUACAGGAGAAUGGACAACAAAUGUACAUAUCAGCAGAGAAAUGCAUUUUCUAUUUGAGGUCGAACAGCAGAGCUUUAUGUGAAUCUCAGUGUAUUCUACAUAAACAAUAAUGUAUUCAAGCUGUAUAUUUAAUUUAAUUUAAUUUAAGCCAUGCCCAAUUCUUUAAAAUAAAAUGUUUU